GCCGAAUAUCCAAGGUUUCCAGAGUAAAGCUGAUCUGCUCUGGGUAAGUCGGGGCCUAAGGAGAGGCAGAGAUGCGUAUCCGAUGGACAGCAGGUUUAAGAUUCCUGCACCCCUUGUUAUCAGAACUGCGGGGACACGGGAAGGGAAGCAGAGCCGGGAAUGGAAAGCCCGGUGCAAGCGAAGGAGUCGCAGGGUUGGAAAAUCCGCCCUGCAUAAGACGAAGGCGUGAUGCGGAGCGAAAUGAAGUAGUGAAGCUGCGGCCCCUUCCUGUCGAGAAAAGCCGCUAUCGUGUAGCAAGGGCCCGUACCGUAAACCGACACAGGUGGAUGAGGAGAGGAUCCUAAGGCCGGCGGGAGAAGUGUUGUUAAGGAACUCGGCAAAAUGACUCCGUAACUUCGGGAGAAGGAGUGCUGCGCAAGCAGCCGCAGAGAAAUGGCCCAAGCAACUGUUUAGCAAAAACACAGGUCUAUGCGAAACCGAAAGGUGAGGUAUAUGGGCUGACGCCUGCCCGGUGCUGGAAGGUUAAGGGGAGAGCUUAGCGUGAGCGAAGGUUUGAACUUAAGCCCCAGUAAACGGCGGCCGUAACUAUAACGGUCCUAAGGUAGCGAAAUUCCUUGUCGGGUAAGUUCCGACCCGCACGAAAGGCGUAAUGAUUUGGGCACUGUCUCAACAACACACCCGGUGAAAUUGAAAUACCAGUGAAGAUGCUGGUUACCCGCGCCAGGACGGAAAGACCCCAUGGAGCUUUACUCCAGCCUGAUACUGGGAUUCGGUAUUGCAUGUACAGGAUAGGUGGGAGGCUAAGAACUCAUGGCGCCAGCCGUGAGGGAGCCGAUGUUGGGAUACCACCCCUGCAGUACUGGGUUUCUAACCUGCGCCCGUGACCCGGGCGGGGGACAAUGUCAGGCGGGGAGUUUGACUGGGGCGGUCGCCUCCGAAAGGGUAUCGGAGGCGCUCAAAGGUCUCCUCAGGAUGGUUGGAAACCAUCCAGAGAGUGCAAAGGCAGAAGGAGGCUUGACUGCGACACCGACGGGUGGAGCAGGUACGAAAGUAGGACUUAGUGAUCCGGUGGCAUAAAGUGGGAUUGCCAUCGCUCAACGGAUAAAAGCUACCCUGGGGAUAACAGGCUUAUCACUCCCAAGAGUUCACAUCGACGGAGUGGUUUGGCACCUCGAUGUCGGCUCAUCGCAUCCUGGAGCUGGAGCAGGUUCCAAGGGUUGGGCUGUUCGCCCAUUAAAGCGGUACGCGAGCUGGGUUCAGAACGUCGUGAGACAGUUCGGUCCCUAUCCGGCGCGGGCGCAGGAUAUCUGAGAGGAGCUGUCCUUAGUACGAGAGGACCGGGAUGGACCGUCCGCUGGUGGACCGGUUGUCAUGCCAAUGGCACGGCCGGGUAGCCAAGACGGGAAGGGAUAAACGCUGAAGGCAUCUAAGCGUGAAGCCCCCCUCAAGAUGAGAUAUCCAUACUCGAAAGAGUGAGAGACCCCUUAGAGACGAUGAGGUAGAUAGGGCAGAGAUGGAAGUGCAGCGAUGCAUGGAGUUGACUGUUACUAAUCGGUCGAAAGCUUGACCU
This 1570-nucleotide ribosomal RNA is filed under the name human gut metagenome. RNAcentral's name for it is "bacterial LSU rRNA". It matches the Rfam family "Bacterial large subunit ribosomal RNA", at positions 1336 to 2925 of the family's 2925-position model. The record is from RNAcentral.